AGGUAGAGUUUAAUAACGUUUCAUUUACACUGAAAAAAUUCUUUAGGGAUACUUAGAGG
This 59-nucleotide transfer RNA is filed under the name Narceus gordanus. RNAcentral describes it as "tRNA-Val". Lineage: Eukaryota; Metazoa; Arthropoda; Diplopoda; Spirobolida; Spirobolidae. The record is from RNAcentral.